AUAAUUGGGCUAUUCCAUUUAAUAUCCGUACCCCCCCUGUCGAGGAUCCCUGGAAUUCUUCAGGGGUAAAGGGUUUUGAGCUUGGAAUUCUUCAGGGGUAAAGUGUUUUGAGCUUGGAAUUCUUCAGGGGUAAAGUGUUUUGAGUUUGGAAUUCUUCAGGGGUAAAUGGUUUUGAGCUUGGAAUUCUUCAGGGGUAAAGGGUUUUGAGCUUGGAAUUCUUCAGGGGUGAAGAGGUUUGAGAUUUUUCAGAGCUUGGAAUUCUUCAGGGGUGAAGGGUUUUGAGCUUGGAAUUCUUCAGGGGUAAAAGGUUUUGAGCUUGAAAUUCUUCAGGGGUAAAGGGCUUUGAGCCUGGAAUUCUUUAGGGGUGAAGGGUUUUGAGCUUGGAAUUCUUCAGGGGUAAAAGGUUUUCAGCUUGGAAUUCCUCAGGGGUAAAGGGUUUUGAGCUUGGAAUUUUGGAAUUCUUCAGGGGUAAAAGGUUUUGAGCUUGGAAUUCUUCAGGGGUAAAGAGUUUUGAGCAUGGAAUUUUGGAAUUCUUCAGGGGUAAACAGUUUUGAGCUUGGAAUUCUUCAGGGGUAUGACAAUGAAAAACAUGUAUCCUCGACAGGGGGGUACGGAUAUUAAAUGGAAUAGCCCA
Paramuricea clavata is the source of this 634-nucleotide non-coding RNA. Lineage: Eukaryota; Metazoa; Cnidaria; Anthozoa; Malacalcyonacea; Plexauridae. The record is from the annotation of a GenBank genome assembly.